GUAUCGGCCUCCCUCCGCGCCAUCAGGAGAGUUGAUCCCUGGCUCAGAUUGAACGCUGGCGGCAGGCCUAACACAUGCAAGUCGAGCGGAAACGAGUUCACUGAACCUUCGGGGAACGUGAACGGCGUCGAGCGGCGGACGGGUGAGUAAUGCCUGGGAAAAUUGCCCCUGAUGUGGGGGAUAACCAUUGGAAACGAUGGCUAAUACCGCAUAAUAGCUUCGGCUCAAAGAGGGGGACCUUCGGGCCUCUCGCGUCAGGAUAUGCCCAGGUGGGAUUAGCUAGUUGGUGAGGUAAGGGCUCACCAAGGCAACGAUCCCUAGCUGGCCUGAGAGGAUGAUCAGCCACACUGGAACUGAGACACGGUCCAGACUCCUACGGGAGGCAGCAGUGGGGAAUAUUGCACAAUGGGCGCAAGCCUGAUGCAGCCAUGCCGCGUGUAUGAAGAAGGCCUUCGGGUUGUAAAGUACUUUCAGCAGUGAGGAAGGUUCAUACGUUAAUAGCGUAUGGAUUUGACGUUAGCUGCAGAAGAAGCACCGGCUAACUCCGUG
Molecule: ribosomal RNA, 549 nt
Filed under: uncultured Vibrio sp.
Lineage: Bacteria; Pseudomonadati; Pseudomonadota; Gammaproteobacteria; Vibrionales; Vibrionaceae
Description: bacterial SSU rRNA
Rfam family: Bacterial small subunit ribosomal RNA
Source: RNAcentral